AGUUGGUCAAAUGGCAGUGGGUUAUCAGAACUUGUUAACAUUAGUGUCACUAAAAUUCAUAUACACCCUCCUGAUAAGUUUGACUGUAUUAAA
RNAcentral lists this non-coding RNA (93 nucleotides) under Octodon degus (degu). The record is from RNAcentral. Lineage: Eukaryota; Metazoa; Chordata; Mammalia; Rodentia; Octodontidae.